CCUACGGGGGGCUGCAGUGAGGAAUAUUGGUCAAUGGACGAGAGUCUGAACCAGCCAAGUAGCGUGAAGGAUGACUGCCCUAUGGGUUGUAAACUUCUUUUAUAUGGGAAUAAAAUGUUCCACGUGUGGGAUUUUGUAUGUACCAUAUGAAUAAGGAUCGGCUAACUCCGUGCCAGCAGCCGCGGUAAUACGGAGGCUCCGAGCGUUAUCCGGAUUUAUUGGGUUUAAAGGGAGCGUAGGUGGAUUGUUAAGUCAGUUGUGAAAGUUUGCGGCUCAACCGUAAAAUUGCAGUUGAAACUGGCAGUCUUGAGUACAGUAGAGGUGGGCGGAAUUCGUGGUGUAGCGGUGAAAUGCUUAGAUAUCACGAAGAACUCCGAUUGCGAAGGCAGUUCACUGGACUGCAACUGACACUGAGGCUCGAAAGUGUGGGUAUCAAACAGGAUUAGAUACCCUUGUAGUC
This 460-nucleotide ribosomal RNA is filed under the name uncultured bacterium. RNAcentral's name for it is "partial 16S ribosomal RNA". It matches the Rfam family "Bacterial small subunit ribosomal RNA", at positions 338 to 795 of the family's 1533-position model. The record is from RNAcentral.